CUAUCCACACUCAAGUAUGGAGUUUAAAAUUAAUUUAUAUUUAGAUAUUAUCUAAAUAUAAUUUAGAUAUAAUCUAAAUAUAAUUUAGAUAUGAUCUAAUAACAUAUAGAUAUGAUCUAUACUUGCUGAAUUUUAGAUUUCAAAUUUACAUACAUGUAUAUUAGUUCAUAUCAUAGUUCGUGUAUGCUAGUUUUAGAUUUGAUCUAUGCAUGUAUUUAGAUUAAAUUAUUUAAUCUAUGUAUGUUCCGCUGUAAAAUUUUAAAAAUGCAUGCACAAAACCACCAUGCUUCCCUUCAACUGGUAACAGAGUGAAGACUCGUUA
Molecule: long non-coding RNA, 322 nt
Filed under: Elaeis guineensis (African oil palm)
Lineage: Eukaryota; Viridiplantae; Streptophyta; Magnoliopsida; Arecales; Arecaceae
Description: long non-coding RNA (EGUI_LNC067933)
Source: RNAcentral